AAGUCGUAACAAGGUUUCCGUAGGUGAACCUGCGGAAGGAUCAUUAUUGAAUUUAAUGAGGGGAUAUUUGGUUGUAGCUGGCUCAUGAAUUUGGGCAUGUGCACACCUAUCUCUUUCAUCCACACACACCUGUGCACUUGUGAGGCAGAUGGGGAAUUUAUUGAUUGUUUUUUAAGAACAAUUGGUGCUGGACCCUCUGUCUACUCAAUAUAUAAACUCAAUUUAUUUAGAAAUGAAUGUAAUGGAUGUAACGCAUCUAAUACUAAGUUUCAACAACGGAUCUCUUGGCUCUC
Molecule: unclassified non-coding RNA, 293 nt
Filed under: Thanatephorus cucumeris
Lineage: Eukaryota; Fungi; Basidiomycota; Agaricomycetes; Cantharellales; Ceratobasidiaceae
Description: partial internal transcribed spacer region
Rfam family: Eukaryotic small subunit ribosomal RNA (bases 1-46)
Source: RNAcentral